ACGGGGUGCAGCAGGCGCGAAAACUUUACAAUGCGGGAAACUGCGAUAAGGGGACACUGAGUGCCAGCAUAUUAUGUUGGCUGUCCACAUGUAUAAAAACCAUGUGUUAGCAAGGGCCGGGCAAGACCGGUGCCAGCCGCCGCGGUAACACCGGCGGCCCGAGUGGUGAUCACUUUUAUUGGGUCUAAAGGGUCCGUAGCCGGUUUAAUCAGUCUUCUGGGAAAUCUGACAGCUCAACUGUUAGGCUUUCAGGGGAUACUGUUAGACUUGGGACCGGGAGAGGUAAGAGGUACUACAGGGGUAGGAGUGAAAUCUUGUAAUCCCUGUGGGACCACCAGUGGCGAAGGCGUCUUACCAGAACGGGUCCGACGGUGAGGGACGAAAGCUGGGGGCACGAACCGGAUUAGAUACCCGGGUAGUCCCAGCCGUAAACGAUGCUCGCUAGGUGUCAGGGACGGUGCGACCGUUUCUGGUGCCGCAGGAAGCCGUGAAGCGAGCCACCUGGAAGUACGCCGCAAGGCU
This 522-nucleotide ribosomal RNA is filed under the name uncultured archaeon. RNAcentral's name for it is "bacterial SSU rRNA". It matches the Rfam family "Archaeal small subunit ribosomal RNA", at positions 325 to 850 of the family's 1478-position model. The record is from RNAcentral.